This 61-nucleotide transfer RNA is filed under the name Camelus bactrianus (Bactrian camel). It matches the Rfam family "tRNA". From Rfam's summary of the family: Transfer RNA (tRNA) molecules are approximately 80 nucleotides in length. Their secondary structure includes four short double-helical elements and three loops (D, anti-codon, and T loops). The record is from Rfam by way of RNAcentral. Lineage: Eukaryota; Metazoa; Chordata; Mammalia; Artiodactyla; Camelidae. RNAcentral also lists the same sequence under 2 other names.
GGGGUUAUAGCUCAGUGUUAGAGCACAUGCUUAGUCCUGGGUUCAAUUCCUGGUAACUCCA